UCUCCCUUCUUUAUUCGCUAGGAUCCAAGUAAAUUCUAGUGGGCAAGAGGAAGAGAAGAGAAACUACAACAUCAUUAUCUUACUGCUGGAGGCAGCAGAUUACGGAGCCCUGCCUGUGUUGUGUCAAAUGCACUAUGUGACAACCAAGACCCUACACAACUGGAGGGCACUUCAGGAUUCCUCCGGGUGGCAGUUGCUGGCCUAGACUCACUUCUUCAGGAGGGAGGUUCGCCCUGGAAAGCUGAUCUGCAUUUCUGCUGGGAUCGAUGCCGUGGAGACUGGGAGACUGAAUACAUUGAGUUCUCCGGUUGAAAGAAAAAAGCUUAACCUGGCUUCUGAAUUCCAAGAACACACUACACAGUGGGUCUAAAUCAACCUCUGGUAAUGAAGGGCCUGGAGCCAGAUAUGAGCUUCUUGGAGCUUGUGGCAGUUUCUGGUGGAGGUCAGCUAUCCUUGUCAUCUACCUUGGCCCCUCUGCAGGGGAUGAGCUCAGGGCUACACUUUUCCUUCCAGGUUCUCAUGGUGUGGUCCAGGCUCCAUUUCUUUCUCUUUGAACCUCACUUCAACAUGAUUAGAGUGACUGAAGGUAAAGAAAUAGGAACUGUUUUACUGUAAAUAAGUUAGUCCCUGCUAUACUUUUUCUCUGUGUUGUUUCAUCACAUGUACUCACCUCAAAGGUCUUGUUCAGCCCUUCACACCCCUGUGAGUUGCAUUAAGCAUUGUCACUGUGCUGCAGAAUGCUUAGAAAUAUGUGUGUGCAUUACACAGAACUGUCCAGCCUUCAGAAGGAAAGGACUGAACAUCUUUGUGCAUCUC
This is a long non-coding RNA of Chlorocebus sabaeus (green monkey), 816 nucleotides long. RefSeq lists it as uncharacterized. The record is from RefSeq and is a predicted model, not a curated record. Lineage: Eukaryota; Metazoa; Chordata; Mammalia; Primates; Cercopithecidae.